Molecule: transfer RNA, 69 nt
Filed under: Macaca nemestrina (pig-tailed macaque)
Lineage: Eukaryota; Metazoa; Chordata; Mammalia; Primates; Cercopithecidae
Description: tRNA-Val
Rfam family: tRNA
About the family: Transfer RNA (tRNA) molecules are approximately 80 nucleotides in length. Their secondary structure includes four short double-helical elements and three loops (D, anti-codon, and T loops).
Source: RNAcentral
CAAGGUAUAGCUUAAUAUAAAGCACCUGGCUUACACCCAGAAAAUCUCAACAUCACUUGAUUACCUUGA